This 1068-nucleotide ribosomal RNA is filed under the name Staphylococcus epidermidis. RNAcentral's name for it is "bacterial SSU rRNA". It matches the Rfam family "Bacterial small subunit ribosomal RNA", at positions 42 to 1098 of the family's 1533-position model. The record is from RNAcentral. Lineage: Bacteria; Bacillati; Bacillota; Bacilli; Caryophanales; Staphylococcaceae.
GCGGGCUAUCAUGCAAGUCGAGCGAACAGACGAGGAGCUUGCUCCUCUGACGUUAGCGGCGGACGGGUGAGUAACACGUGGAUAACCUACCUAUAAGACUGGGAUAACUUCGGGAAACCGGAGCUAAUACCGGAUAAUAUAUUGAACCGCAUGGUUCAAUAGUGAAAGACGGUUUUGCUGUCACUUAUAGAUGGAUCCGCGCCGCAUUAGCUAGUUGGUAAGGUAACGGCUUACCAAGGCAACGAUGCGUAGCCGACCUGAGAGGGUGAUCGGCCACACUGGAACUGAGACACGGUCCAGACUCCUACGGGAGGCAGCAGUAGGGAAUCUUCCGCAAUGGGCGAAAGCCUGACGGAGCAACGCCGCGUGAGUGAUGAAGGUCUUCGGAUCGUAAAACUCUGUUAUUAGGGAAGAACAAAUGUGUAAGUAACUAUGCACGUCUUGACGGUACCUAAUCAGAAAGCCACGGCUAACUACGUGCCAGCAGCCGCGGUAAUACGUAGGUGGCAAGCGUUAUCCGGAAUUAUUGGGCGUAAAGCGCGCGUAGGCGGUUUUUUAAGUCUGAUGUGAAAGCCCACGGCUCAACCGUGGAGGGUCAUUGGAAACUGGAAAACUUGAGUGCAGAAGAGGAAAGUGGAAUUCCAUGUGUAGCGGUGAAAUGCGCAGAGAUAUGGAGGAACACCAGUGGCGAAGGCGACUUUCUGGUCUGUAACUGACGCUGAUGUGCGAAAGCGUGGGGAUCAAACAGGAUUAGAUACCCUGGUAGUCCACGCCGUAAACGAUGAGUGCUAAGUGUUAGGGGGUUUCCGCCCCUUAGUGCUGCAGCUAACGCAUUAAGCACUCCGCCUGGGGAGUACGACCGCAAGGUUGAAACUCAAAGGAAUUGACGGGGACCCGCACAAGCGGUGGAGCAUGUGGUUUAAUUCGAAGCAACGCGAAAAACCUUACCAAAUCUGACAUCCUCUGACCCCUCUAGAGAUAGAGUUUUCCCCCUUCGGGGGACAAUGACAGGUGGGGCAUGGUUGUCUCCACCUCGUGUCUGAAUGUGGGUUAUUCCCCCAACGAGCC